RNAcentral lists this small nuclear RNA (24 nucleotides) under Arabidopsis thaliana (thale cress). Its description in RNAcentral is "snRNA_17640". Lineage: Eukaryota; Viridiplantae; Streptophyta; Magnoliopsida; Brassicales; Brassicaceae. The record is from RNAcentral.
AAUCGAAUUCUGGUUAUCAGCCAC